GAGAAAUACCCAAGUGGUUGAAGGGGUCGGUCUUGAAAACCGAUAGGGGGUGCAAGCCCCGCGAGGGUUCGAAUCCCUCUUUCUCC
Molecule: transfer RNA, 86 nt
Filed under: pig gut metagenome
Rfam family: tRNA
About the family: Transfer RNA (tRNA) molecules are approximately 80 nucleotides in length. Their secondary structure includes four short double-helical elements and three loops (D, anti-codon, and T loops). Further hydrogen bonds mediate the characteristic L-shaped molecular structure. tRNAs have two regions of fundamental functional importance: the anti-codon, which is responsible for specific mRNA codon recognition, and the 3' end, to which the tRNAs corresponding amino acid is attached (by aminoacyl-tRNA synthetases). tRNAs cope with the degeneracy of the genetic code in two manners: having more than one tRNA (with a specific anti-codon) for a particular amino acid; and 'wobble' base-pairing, i.e. permitting non-standard base-pairing at the 3rd anti-codon position.
Source: RNAcentral